RNAcentral lists this small RNA (30 nucleotides) under Bombyx mori (domestic silkworm). RNAcentral's name for it is "ovarian small RNA-13569". The record is from RNAcentral. Lineage: Eukaryota; Metazoa; Arthropoda; Insecta; Lepidoptera; Bombycidae.
CCAGCCGGUAGCCUCAUUCACCCAAUUGGG